Molecule: long non-coding RNA, 2007 nt
Filed under: Pan troglodytes (chimpanzee)
Lineage: Eukaryota; Metazoa; Chordata; Mammalia; Primates; Hominidae
Description: lncRNA (ENSPTRG00000054602.1)
Source: RNAcentral
CUGGGUCCAAGUGAUCCCCACUCGGCCUCCAAAGUGCUGGAUUACAGGUGUGAGCCAACAUGUCUGGCCCCUCUUUUUUUUUUUUUUUUUUUUUUUUUUUUUUGCGAUGGAGUCUCGCUCUUUCACCCAGGCUGGAGUGCACUGGGCAGUCUCGGCGCACACAACCUCUGCCUCCCAGGUUCAAGCUAUCCUUGUGCCUCAGCCUCCUCGUGUAGCUGGAAUUAACAGGUGUGUGCCACCACGCCUGGCUCUUUGUUUUUUUUUUUUUUAUUAUUUUUAGUAGAGACUGGGUUUCACCAUGUUGGCCAGGCUGGUCUCGACUCCUGACCUCAAGUGAUCAGCCCACUUGGCCUCCCAAGUGUUGGGAUUACAGGUGUGAGCCACCACGCCUUACCUGGCCUAUUUUCAUAGGUUAUAUAAAUUCCUUGGUUCCCAGUUUUUGCAGUCUUUCUCAAUUCAGUUUAAUUAAUGGUUAACUGUUUAUUCAUUAUCAAAAAAAGUACAGUGUAAUAAUAAGACCAUGUUACUAUUAGAAGUAUGGGUAUCAUCAAAUUAAGAUUUUUGAUUCUAAAAUUAUUAGUAGUUUCCAAAGACCAAAGAUUAAAUUAAUAAAAGGUGAAGCUAGACAAAAUCUGCUGGAAAUGAUGGCCUGUGACCGACUGAGCCAAUCAGCGAUGAUAUUGGAAACAUUGAUGUACGACCAGCGAUUGAUGUACGAGAACCAGAGCUUGAAGAUUUGGCUAGAUACGAUGUUGGUGCUAUUCGAGCACAUGAUGGUAGUCUUCAGCACCUUACUUGGCUUGGCUUACAGUGGAAUUCAUUGCCUGCUUUACCUGGAAUCCGAAAAUGGCUAAAACAGCUUUUCCAUCAUUUGCCCCAGGAAACCUCAAGGCUUGAAACAAAUGCGCCUGAAUCAAUAUGUAUUUUAGAUCUUGAAGUAUUUCUCCUUGGAGUAGUAUAUACCAGCCACUUACAAUUAAAGGAGAAAUGUAAUUCUCACCACAGCUCCUAUCAGCCGUUAUGCCUGCCCCUUCCUGUGUGUAAACAGCUUUGUACAGAAAGACAAAAAUCUUGGUGGGAUGCGGUUUGUACUCUGAUUCACAGAAAAGCAGUACCUGGAAACGCAGCAAAAUUGAGACUUCUAGUUCAGCAUGAAAUAAACACUCUAAGAGCCCAGGAAAAACAUGGCCUUCAACCUGCUCUGCUUGUACAUUGGGCAAAAUGCCUUCAGAAAACGGGCAGCGGUCUUAAUUCUUUUUAUGAUCAACGAGAAUACAUAGGGAGAAGUGUUCAUUAUUGGAAGAAAGUUUUGCCAUUGUUGAAGAUAAUAAAAAAGAAGAACAGUAUUCCUGAACCUAUUGAUCCUCUGUUUAAACAUUUUCAUAGUGUAGACAUUCAGGCAUCAGAAAUUGUUGAAUAUGAAGAAGACGCACACAUAACUUUUGCUAUAUUGGAUGUAGUAAAUGGAAAUAUAGAAGAUGCUAUGACUGCUUUUGAAUCUAUACAAAGUGUUGUUUCUUAUUGGAAUCUUGCACUGAUUUUUCACAGGAAGGCAGAAGACAUUGAAAAUGAUGCCCUUUCUCCUGAAGAACAAGAAGAAUGCAAAAAUUAUCUGAGAAAGACCAGGGACUACCUAAUAAAGAUUAUAGAUGACAGUGAUUCAAAUCUUUCAGUGGUGAAGAAAUUGCCUGUGCCCCUGGAGUCUGUAAAAGAGAUGCUGAAGUCAGUCCUGCAGGAACUCGAAGCCUAUAGUGAAGGAGGUCCUCUCUAUACAAAUGGUUCUUUGCGAAAUGCAGAUUCAGAAAAAACAUUCUACACGUCCUCUACCAGAUAUUCACUAUCACCAAGUAAAAGUUACAAGGUAAACAGGAAAGAAUGGAAUCAUUUCAUUGUGAAAUUGUUUCUAAGUGUUUUAAAUGCUCUUUUGUUAUUUUUUUAUUUUUUUUAGUAUUCUCCCAAACACCACCUCGAUGGGCAGAAGAUCAGAUUCUUUACUGAAAAUGAUUU